This 253-nucleotide ribosomal RNA is filed under the name uncultured bacterium. Its description in RNAcentral is "partial 16S ribosomal RNA". It matches the Rfam family "Bacterial small subunit ribosomal RNA", at positions 524 to 776 of the family's 1533-position model. The record is from RNAcentral.
UACAGAGGGUGCAAGCGUUAAUCGGAAUUACUGGGCGUAAAGCGUGCGCAGACGGUUGCGUAAGUCAGAUGUGAAAGCCCCGGGCUCAACCUGGGAAGUGCACUCGAAACUGCAGAACUCGAGUCCUGGAGAGGAAGGCGGAAUUCUCGGUGUAGAGGUGAAAUUCGUAGAUAUCGAGAGGAACACCGGUGGCGAAGGCGGCCAUCUGGACCGCAACUGACGCUGAGGCGCGAAAGCGUGGGGAGCAAACAGG